This 1513-nucleotide ribosomal RNA is filed under the name Lacticaseibacillus casei. Its description in RNAcentral is "bacterial SSU rRNA". It matches the Rfam family "Bacterial small subunit ribosomal RNA". RNAcentral also lists the same sequence under 1 other name. The record is from RNAcentral. Lineage: Bacteria; Bacillati; Bacillota; Bacilli; Lactobacillales; Lactobacillaceae.
AUACAUGCAAGUCGAACGAGUUCUCGUUGAUGAUCGGUGCUUGCACCGAGAUUCAACAUGGAACGAGUGGCGGACGGGUGAGUAACACGUGGGUAACCUGCCCUUAAGUGGGGGAUAACAUUUGGAAACAGAUGCUAAUACCGCAUAGAUCCAAGAACCGCAUGGUUCUUGGCUGAAAGAUGGCGUAAGCUAUCGCUUUUGGAUGGACCCGCGGCGUAUUAGCUAGUUGGUGAGGUAAUGGCUCACCAAGGCGAUGAUACGUAGCCGAACUGAGAGGUUGAUCGGCCACAUUGGGACUGAGACACGGCCCAAACUCCUACGGGAGGCAGCAGUAGGGAAUCUUCCACAAUGGACGCAAGUCUGAUGGAGCAACGCCGCGUGAGUGAAGAAGGCUUUCGGGUCGUAAAACUCUGUUGUUGGAGAAGAAUGGUCGGCAGAGUAACUGUUGUCGGCGUGACGGUAUCCAACCAGAAAGCCACGGCUAACUACGUGCCAGCAGCCGCGGUAAUACGUAGGUGGCAAGCGUUAUCCGGAUUUAUUGGGCGUAAAGCGAGCGCAGGCGGUUUUUUAAGUCUGAUGUGAAAGCCCUCGGCUUAACCGAGGAAGCGCAUCGGAAACUGGGAAACUUGAGUGCAGAAGAGGACAGUGGAACUCCAUGUGUAGCGGUGAAAUGCGUAGAUAUAUGGAAGAACACCAGUGGCGAAGGCGGCUGUCUGGUCUGUAACUGACGCUGAGGCUCGAAAGCAUGGGUAGCGAACAGGAUUAGAUACCCUGGUAGUCCAUGCCGUAAACGAUGAAUGCUAGGUGUUGGAGGGUUUCCGCCCUUCAGUGCCGCAGCUAACGCAUUAAGCAUUCCGCCUGGGGAGUACGACCGCAAGGUUGAAACUCAAAGGAAUUGACGGGGGCCCGCACAAGCGGUGGAGCAUGUGGUUUAAUUCGAAGCAACGCGAAGAACCUUACCAGGUCUUGACAUCUUUUGAUCACCUGAGAGAUCAGGUUUCCCCUUCGGGGGCAAAAUGACAGGUGGUGCAUGGUUGUCGUCAGCUCGUGUCGUGAGAUGUUGGGUUAAGUCCCGCAACGAGCGCAACCCUUAUGACUAGUUGCCAGCAUUUAGUUGGGCACUCUAGUAAGACUGCCGGUGACAAACCGGAGGAAGGUGGGGAUGACGUCAAAUCAUCAUGCCCCUUAUGACCUGGGCUACACACGUGCUACAAUGGAUGGUACAACGAGUUGCGAGACCGCGAGGUCAAGCUAAUCUCUUAAAGCCAUUCUCAGUUCGGACUGUAGGCUGCAACUCGCCUACACGAAGUCGGAAUCGCUAGUAAUCGCGGAUCAGCACGCCGCGGUGAAUACGUUCCCGGGCCUUGUACACACCGCCCGUCACACCAUGAGAGUUUGUAACACCCGAAGCCGGUGGCGUAACCCUUUUAGGGAGCGAGCCGUCUAAGGUGGGACAAAUGAUUAGGGUGAAGUCGUAACAAGGUAGCCGUAGGAGAACCUGCGGUUGGAUCAC